Molecule: ribosomal RNA, 264 nt
Filed under: uncultured archaeon
Lineage: Archaea
Description: partial 16S ribosomal RNA
Rfam family: Archaeal small subunit ribosomal RNA
Source: RNAcentral
AGACGUCUACAUUAGAUACCCGGGUAGUCCCAGCCGUAAACUAUGCGCGUUAGGUGUAUCGGUGACCACGAGUCACCGAGGUGCCGAAGGGAAACCGUGAAACGUGCCGCCUGGGAAGUACGGUCGCAAGGCUGAAACUUAAAGGAAUUGGCGGGGAGCACCACAACGGGUGGAGCCUGCGGUUUAAUUGGACUCAACGCCGGGAAGCUCACCGGAUAGGACAGCAGAAUGAUUGCCGGGCUGAAGACCCUGCAUGACUAGCUG